AACNNACGCUGGCGGCGUGCCUAACACAUGCAAGUCGAACGUGAUUAGAGAGCUUGCUCUCUAUGAAAGUGGCGCACGGGUGAGUAACGCGUAGAUAAUCUGCCUGGUGAUCUGGGAUAACACUUCGAAAGAGGUGCUAAUACCGGAUAAGCCCACGGAGUCUUCGGACUCUGCGGGAAAAGGGGGGGACCUUCGGGCCUUCUGUCAUCAGAUGAGUCUGCGUACCAUUAGCUAGUUGGUAGGGUAAAGGCCUACCAAGGCGACGAUGGUUAGCUGGUCUGAGAGGAUGAUCAGCCACACUGGAACUGAGACACGGUCCAGACUCCUACGGGAGGCAGCAGUGGGGAAUUUUGCGCAAUGGGGGAAANCNUGACGCAGCAACGCCGCGUGAGUGAUGAAGGCCCUUGGGUCGUAAAGCUCUGACAGAGGGAAAGAAAUGUAUAGUGGCUAAUAUCCAUUGUACUUGACGGUACCCUCAAAGGAAGCACCGGCUAACUCCGUGCCAGCAGCCGCGGUAAUACGGAGGGUGCGAGCGUUGUUCGGAUUUAUUGGGCGUAAAGCGCGUGUAGGCGGUUUUGUAAGUCUGAUGUGAAAGCCCCGGGCUUAACCUGGGAAGUGCAUUGGAUACUGCAAGACUUGAGUACGGGAGAGGGUAGUGGAAUUCCCAGUGUAGGAGUGAAAUCCGUAGAUAUUGGGAGGAACA
This 703-nucleotide ribosomal RNA is filed under the name uncultured bacterium. RNAcentral's name for it is "bacterial SSU rRNA". It matches the Rfam family "Bacterial small subunit ribosomal RNA", at positions 28 to 708 of the family's 1533-position model. The record is from RNAcentral.